Long non-coding RNA from Helianthus annuus (common sunflower), 630 nucleotides. RefSeq lists it as uncharacterized. Lineage: Eukaryota; Viridiplantae; Streptophyta; Magnoliopsida; Asterales; Asteraceae. The record is from RefSeq and is a predicted model, not a curated record. The transcript has 3 exons.
AAUAAAGGGAAACAAUGAAAAGUCGCUCCUGCCUCCUAUCUCGGUCUCCCACACAAUUGACGAACAGAAACGUCGCACAGAGAGAAGAAAUAAUGAACGACGGGUUUGCAGGUUGGAAAUCACGCUGUCCUAGCCUCAAUCGUCGCCUGAAUCGUUGCCUGAAUCGUCGAUUGGUUACAGAGAAUCAGAGAUAUGAAAUAGUUAAUUGUCUGACUAAAGUUGAAGGAGUAUCGGAUGAUAAUUUCCGGACAAGGAAACCAAAGAGUCGGCCGAGGUGUGCCGAAUUUCUGGCUUACUGCAAUGAAGUCAAAUGAAGUUCUAGCUGAUGAGGUGAUUGCCGGUCCCAAGCCCAGAUAAAGGAGGAGGGUUUUGUUACUAAAUAUGUUGAAAAUGUUAAUUUUGCAAAAGGGCCACCACUUCGUAGUUCGAUUAGGGCCUCCGAAAACAUAGGAACGGCUCUGGUAAAAAACCAUCCCAGUUUGCUAUAGAAAAAAUCUUUAGCGUAUUUAUUAAUUAUUUGUUAAGAAUUAGCUAUGGAUAACUUUCUUAUAGUUUAGUUAUGUGCAUAUAUUCGUUAUAUGAAUUUUGUAGCAAAAUCUAGAAAUAAAUAUUGAGAAAUAUAACUGAAAA